GAUGAAGAACGUAGCGAAAUGCGAUACGUAAUGUGAAUUGCAGAAUUCAGUGAAUCAUCGAAUCUUUGAACGCAUAUUGCGCUCUCUGGUAUUCCGGAGAGCAUGCUUGUUUGAGUAUCAGUAAACACCUCAACUUCCAUAUCUUUUUUGAAAUGGGAGUUGGACUUGAGUGAUCCCAACGCUUGUCCUCACCGAAAAGUGGCGGGUUACUUGAAAUGCAGGUGCAGCUGGACUUUUCUCUGAGCUAUAAGCAUAUCUAUUUAGUCUGCCUAAAAAACAGAUUAUUACCUUUGCUGCAGCUAACAUAAAGGAGAUUAGUUCUUGUGCUGACUGAUGCAGGAUUCACAAAGACAGGCUUCGGCCGACUUUGUAAACUCGAUCUCAAAUCAAGUAAGACUACCCGCUGAACUUAAGCAUAUCAAUAAGCGGAGGA
RNAcentral lists this unclassified non-coding RNA (433 nucleotides) under soil metagenome. RNAcentral's name for it is "partial contains 5.8S ribosomal RNA, internal transcribed spacer 2, and large subunit ribosomal RNA". The stretch from base 1 to 120 matches the Rfam family "5.8S ribosomal RNA", at positions 35 to 154 of the family's 154-position model. The record is from RNAcentral.